CCUACGGGAGGCAGCAGAAGGGAAUAUUGCUCAAUGGGGGAAACCCUGAAGCAGCAACGCCGCGUGGAGGAAGAAGGGUUUCGGAUUGUAAACCCCUGUUGUUAGCGAAGAAAAUGACGGUAACUAACGAAUAAGCACCGGCUAAACCCGUGCCAGCAGGCGCGGUAAAACGGAGGGUGAAAGCGUUACUCGGAAUCACUGGGGGUAAAGAGCGCGUAGGCGGGUUAGCAAGUCAGAUGAGAACUCCUAUGGCUUAACCCUAGAACUGCAUUUGAAACUGUUAUUCUUGAGUAUGGGAGGGGUAGGUGGAAUUCUUGGUGUAGGGGUAAAAUCCGUAGAGAUCAAGAGGAAUACUCAUUGCGAAGGCGGCCGGCUAGAACUUAACUGACGCUGAUGCGCGAAAGCGUGGGGAGCAAACAGGAUUAGAUACCCUUGUAGUA
Molecule: ribosomal RNA, 440 nt
Filed under: uncultured bacterium
Lineage: Bacteria
Description: partial 16S ribosomal RNA
Rfam family: Bacterial small subunit ribosomal RNA
Source: RNAcentral